Non-coding RNA from Manis javanica (Malayan pangolin), 1670 nucleotides. Lineage: Eukaryota; Metazoa; Chordata; Mammalia; Pholidota; Manidae. The record is from RefSeq and is a predicted model, not a curated record.
ACCCAAGGCCACAGAGCUGAGAGGUGAUGAUUGAAACAGGAGCCGAGAGUCCAGGUCUCCCAAUUCCCAGACCAGAGCUCCUCCCACCUCACCAAGCUCAGCCUCACUAGCUGCACGCACGGCAUUCCAUGUGGGUCCUACAGCCUGUGCCCACUCAGUGACACAGGACCCCCAAGGAACCUGGGGCACACCUGAGAUGGCAAAAUGCUGCCCAGGGGACCCAGGUCGAGCCUCGUGGAAGUGGUGGGGGCACCACUGCAUGCACCCUUCAGGAUCUGGCACCAUGGCCACUCCGUUUGAAGACUGUGCUCCAGGUAGCGUGUGUCCCCAGCAGAUUCCAUGUACAGUGUCAGAUCUGCGUUCCAGGCACAUCCCUGCUUUGGAAAUGACCCGGCAAACUCAGUUAGUUACACGAGGCAGCCAAGUUGCACAAAGCCAUCAGCGGCUCUUCCCCAGCACAGACUGCAAGCCUGCAGCCAACGAGACGCAGUCACUGCUCCCCAGCCUCUGAGCAAUUGCUUUCGUUCCAGAUUUUUCACAGAGCCUGGAGUCCAAACUCAAAGCAAUAGUCAUCUAAAAGAACCGCCUCUGGGGAUAAACACAAGGCAUCAGCAGAAUGCAAGAAAAAUCCAAGUGCAUUUUUCUGGGCCAAGCAGAGCUCAGAACAUUGCAGCCGCGAGGACUUGCGGGGUCAGCCAGGGUGACCACUCAUUGUUCAAAUGAGGUGGGUGUCAAGAGAGCUGAGCCCCUGGCCCAGGUCACAGGGCAGGUUGUGCCCUGGGAUACAAAACCAGGCCUCGUGGCGGAGAGCCCAGAGCUCUUCUUUGGGAAUGUAAGGAAUCAUCUCUGAGCGCUGUUUUACUGUGGCUCUAAAAAGGGGUGUUAGGAGCUGUCCCGCUCAUAAAGUGGGCCUCACCGGGGGCCCAGACAGGCAGGAGUAACAGGUCAUUCCCACGCUCCGUGCCCGGCUGUGGGCCUGGCUCCAGACAACCUUCAGAGACCGUGUCUUUGAGGCGAGGCUGGGCUCUGAGUCAGCCUUCCGUCAGGGGCUGGGAUAACUGCAUCUGCUCCCCAGGGCAGCGGGCUGGGCCGGGAAGGCGCAGUCAAGGGCCCGCGUCCUUCUGACGGCCGUUUGAGCCCUUGGGUCCCCACCCCUGCAGAGGGGGCUUCUACCUGCUCAUGCAGGCCCCCCCACCCAGGGAGAGGGGCUUCCGAGGCCCCGGGGCCCUGGCGGUGCCGGCUCUCUUGUAGCCCCCCCGCCCCCCGGACCUGAGACACCUGCUCUGCAAUCAGGACUCACUGGUCCCGACCCCGGCUCCACCCUUUCCAGCAGAGGAGGCACUGGGCCCCAGCCUGCAGUCCGCCUGCCUGGGAAACGGCACGGGUUUGCUGUGAGCGGCUGGCAUACAUCUCCCAGACCCACACCAGUCCCUGGCCCAAACCGGAGGCAGCGCUGCCUCUGGAAGGAGCGGAACCACAGAGGAACCCGGCUGCUCUGGACACCCCCAUGGGUGCUUGUGCUGUAUGCGGGCCGCUCAGCACAGCCCUUCCAGGCCCAGAGCCGGCGAGGGCAGCGUCCUGGCCUUAGCGAGAGCUACUCCCUGAGGGCUGAGCCAACUCUGGGGAGGGACGUGCUGCCCUGUUCCCAGCCAGCGGGCAGGCUGCCCCUU